GUGGCUUUGAUCUAGUCGGUCGUCUGUGCUGGUGGCAACACAUGUGCACGUCAACUGCAAAUCCACACACCUGUGCAUCUUUGACUGUGGGGUCCGCUUGUUGGUUCAUUCUGACGAGCAGCUGGUUGACAUUGUGUUGACUGGGGUCUCAUGGUAUUUUUUACACACUCUGAAUGUAAUGGAAUGUCUUGUGCAUAACGCAUAUAAAUACAACUUUCAACAACGGAUCUCUUGGCUCUCGCACCGAUGAAGAACGCAGCGAAAUGCGAUAAGUAAUGUGAAUUGCAGAAUUCAGUGAAUCAUCGAAUCUUUGAACGCACCUUGCACCCUUUGGUAUUCCGAAGGGUACGCCCGUUUGAGUGUCAUUGUAAUCUCACCUCUACGGCUUUUGUCGUGUGAAGUGGACUUGGGCAUUGUCGUGUUGCAACGACUGGCCUGAAAUGCAUGAGUGUACCCUGCUGUUGCAGCGUCUUCAGUGUGAUAAUUAUCUUCACUGAUCCAAGUUCCCUUUGGGACACGCGAGCGACGUGGGCUCUGCGCUGCGAACCGUCUUUGGACAAAGUUUGACAAUUUGACCUCAAAUCGGGUGGGAUUACCCGCUGAACUUAAGCAUAUCAUA
This 619-nucleotide ribosomal RNA is filed under the name Sebacinales sp. 44. RNAcentral describes it as "eukaryotic LSU rRNA". The stretch from base 212 to 365 matches the Rfam family "5.8S ribosomal RNA". Lineage: Eukaryota; Fungi; Basidiomycota; Agaricomycetes; Sebacinales. The record is from RNAcentral.